RNAcentral lists this ribosomal RNA (377 nucleotides) under uncultured bacterium. RNAcentral's name for it is "bacterial SSU rRNA". It matches the Rfam family "Bacterial small subunit ribosomal RNA", at positions 521 to 896 of the family's 1533-position model. The record is from RNAcentral.
UAAUACAGAGGGUGCAAGCGUUAAUCGGAAUGACUGGGCGUAAAGCGUGUGUAGGUGGUUGGAUAAGUUAGAUGUGAAAUCCCCGGGCUUAACCUGGGAACUGCGUUUAAGACUGUUUAACUUGAGUACUGUAGAGGAUAGUGGAAUUUCCAGUGUAGCGGUGAAAUGCGUAGAUAUUGGAAGGAACACCAGUGGCGAAGGCGACUAUCUGGAUAGAUACUGACACUGAGACACGAAAGCGUGGGGAGCAAACAGGAUUAGAUACCCUGGUAGUCCAUGCUGUAAACUAUGAGAACUUGCUGUUGGAUGCAUAAAGGCAUUUAGUAGCGAAGCUAACGCGUUAAGUUCUCCGCCUGGGGAGUACGGUCGCAAGACUA